Molecule: long non-coding RNA, 265 nt
Organism: Mytilus trossulus (common blue mussel)
Lineage: Eukaryota; Metazoa; Mollusca; Bivalvia; Mytilida; Mytilidae
Exons: 3
Source: RefSeq, a predicted model, not a curated record
CAGGCAUAACCAACUGCAUCAGCGUGAGAUUGGCUGCCAGUGUACAGAUUAUUUUUACUAUACUUAAACUGAUUGGUUUAGCAACUAUUAUUGGCGGCGGAAUCAUAAUGUUAUCUAGAGGAACGGUUGGAAGCUUACCAACGGGCUUUGAGGGCAGUGUAGAUAACCCAACAAGUAUUGCAACUGCCAUUUAUAGUGGUCUCUGGGCAUUUGGUGGUUGGAGUCAACUUAAUUUUGUCACAGAGGAGCUUAAGAAUCCCAGAAG